Molecule: long non-coding RNA, 2091 nt
Organism: Vicia villosa (hairy vetch)
Lineage: Eukaryota; Viridiplantae; Streptophyta; Magnoliopsida; Fabales; Fabaceae
Exons: 2
Source: RefSeq, a predicted model, not a curated record
UUUUACUCUCUCAUUUUAAGUCGUUUUCCCUCUCUUGCUCUCUUUUUCUCUCCUUCCCUCUUCUCUCUCUUUAAACCCUAAAAAUGUCUCUUCUUCUUCUCUUUCAGUUAGGGCACAAACGAAAACACACUACUUCUAGGUAUUUCUCAGCACGCGUCGUAGUCACAACAACAUCCACCAUGAAUCCUAAUAGGUUAACUUUGAUGCAAAGACUGAGUAUGAUAAGAUCUAGAAUUACUAAGCCCUACAAGAGGUUUUCAACAAGCUAAUAAUAUGGCCAACAGGUGUGUGUUAUGGUAUGUUUUCUUGAAUCCUGUAGUUGUUGUUAGUUCUGUUGUUGUUGUUGCUGCAGGAAAGUACCCUUUAUUAACCAUAACAACUUCCAAAAAAACCUGGAAAUUGGUUUGGUGUUCGAUUUGAAUCUGAAGUAAAGAUCGAUCCGUGACUUCGGCAUAAGGAGAGUCUGAGAGAGGGUGGUUCCGAACAUCAUUUCUUUUGUUAAGUUUUGUUUAAAUCACGGUAAGUUUCAUUUAGUUUGAUCUCAAACCUGACUUGAUCUACAUUUGUUAUGAAUUUGAAUUUACAUUAGUUUGAUCUCAAAGCUGUUUGAAUUUGAUAUGAUACUAAAGAUUUGGAUUUAUUUUUUCUUCUUUUAGGAUAAUGAAAAACAAGUCAGGGAAGAAUUUGAUAUGAUACUAAAUAUUCUCUUAGCUACUGCUUUUUAUUAAACAGCUAAAACAUUUGCUUAUCCUUAUUUACUUCAUAUAUUUUUUGAUUUUAGAGUUGUUUGUUUCCUCUUCUUAUUUCCAAGAGAGUCCAAUGCCAGAUCCAUCUGAAUUAUUUUCUAAUGUACAUGUUAAAGGAUACAUAGUUGAGUUAUAGAUUCCAUCCAUAUUCACUAUCCGUUGAUUAAAAUUAAACUAUAAGAAUAGUAAAUUUAUAGAUACGGAGUGAGAGUUAAGUUGUCAUAAAUAGGAAAUUUAAUAGUCCCCAAAUUGGUGAAAAUAAAGAAGAGUAAAAGAUUUUUCUACAAAACUAAUCUUUGAGCCCUUGGGUUGAGUUUCCCCGCGUAUAUAGUCAAUUUAUACUCUUGAGCGGCAAUGAGAGUUGAUUGAAUACUUUUUGACAUGUAUUUUUUGUUGGAGAGCAUAUGUAUGUAGAUUGACAAAAGCCUUCAUUUCUGGUGCAAAUGACUUCAUUUCUUCUUUCCUGACUUGAUCUACAUUUGUUAUUUGAUCACAAACCUGCCAAUUGUUUUAUAACUACAACAUGUUUGGAUGGAACAUUGCCCAGUAACCAUUUGGACCGCGGAUUUGAAUCUGGUGCAAAUAGUUGGCUUAUUCAUCUUGAGGUAUGUAAAAUAAUAUCCAGACUUUAAUAUCAAUACUUGCUUUAACUCUCCCAUCUUUGAGGCUGCAACUUAUGUAUACUCAAGUAUUUGUUUUAAUUGUCCACUUUAUCUAAUUUUUUUAAACUGGAAUAGAGUCAAUUUAAGGUACUGUGACGGAGGAUAUUUUACGGGAGAUAGUGAAAAUGAGGCCAGUGAAGAAAAUCUUAUCUUAAUAAGCAUUCCUAUGGAAACUGUCAUUGAAAGAUUUGAUUUUGCAAUCCAUUAUUGUGUGACCGUAUCGGGAUUUGAUUCUUUUUACAGGUUGUGCUCUGUCAACACUUCAAACGGCUUCAUUAGUAGAGAAGUCCAGACAUAAGCCACAAGAGAGGAUGAUAAUUUUAUCAGAUAUAAGUUGAUUUUCCAAGUUUUGAUUGAUAUUGCUAUGUCAUCCAUAUGUCGCGGCUAAAGGGUUCUUUUUGUUGCAGGCACUUAAAACCAGUAACUAUGAUGCUGAACAUUUUGUAUGUUUAGAGUAAUGUACCAAUCAAGGAUGGUAAAGUGACAUUUUGUAUAUUUAGAGUCAUGUACCAACCAAGUUCAUCUUCUGACUUUUCUCUGGUAUUUAUGCUUCGAAAUCAUUUUUCAUAUAACCAAAUAUGAGUAUUCAUAGGAUCUUUCAAUUAUAUUGCUGAAUGACAUGUUUAUUGUUGACUGACAUGGUUCAAUUAUAUUUGGUUAUUUGGUCAUGUACAACACUUAAA